Molecule: ribosomal RNA, 513 nt
Filed under: Triticum aestivum (bread wheat)
Lineage: Eukaryota; Viridiplantae; Streptophyta; Magnoliopsida; Poales; Poaceae
Description: partial small subunit ribosomal RNA
Source: RNAcentral
AUGGCCCAGGCGACCACACUUGAAGCAUUCCACAUCAGGGAUCUCUUCCACCAGAAUGGGCGCAUCGGCCGAGCCUUUGGGGCCAGCCGGCAGGGCCACCGCGAGCGGCGCAGUGCUGGCGCGAGGCUUCUUGGCCAGUGGGUCGCCAUGGUUGGGGAGCGGCGCAGAUUUCUGCUCCAACUCUCUGCGCCUGCGCCCUUCCUUCUUCAAACGCUUCCGCUCUUAUUGCUGGAUCCACCAAGGGGGAGGGGACCCCAAUCCCCCUCACUCCCUCCUUGCGCGGCCGCGGAUCCGCGUGCAUCACGCGCCUCACGGCCGUCGCGACCACCCUGCCGGCCACCCAUGGCGCUGUUGGCCUUCUCACGGAGCGCUUUCUCCCGCCGCAGCUCCGCGUCUUGCUCCCCCGCCACCAUUGGACGCUUGUCCGCUCGUCGAUCCCCCAUCACCGCCGCCGCAAAGGAAAUGGAAAGAGGAGGGGGAGGGGAAAGAAUGCGAAUGGAUCUCGCAGUGUGA